This 973-nucleotide ribosomal RNA is filed under the name human gut metagenome. RNAcentral's name for it is "bacterial LSU rRNA". It matches the Rfam family "Bacterial large subunit ribosomal RNA", at positions 1957 to 2925 of the family's 2925-position model. The record is from RNAcentral.
UAGCGAAAUUCCUUGUCGGGUAAGUUCCGACCCGCACGAAAGGCGUAAUGAUUUGGGCACUGUCUCAACAGCCCGCCCGGCGAAAUUGUAGUACCGGUGAAGAUGCCGGUUACCCGCGACAAGACGGAAAGACCCCAUGGAGCUUUACUGUAGCCUAAUAUUGGGUUUCGAUGUUGCAUGCACAGGAUAGAUGGGACACUGGGAAGCACGGGCUUUGGCUUGUGUGGAGUGGCCGUUGGGAUACCAUCCUUGCGAUAUUGGAAUUCUAACCUGCGCCUUUGAAUCAAGGCGGGGGACAUUGUUAGGUGGGCAGUUUGACUGGGGCGGUCGCCUCCUAAAAAGUAACGGAGGCGUUCAAAGGUUCGCUCAGCUUGAACGGAAAUCAAGCAAGAGAGUGCAAACGCAGAAGCGAGCCUAACUGCGAGACUGACGGGUCGAGCAGUAACGAAAGUUGGAGUUAGUGAUCCGGUGGUAUGUGAGUGGAAAUGCCAUCGCUCAACGGAUAAAAGUUACCCUGGGGAUAACAGGCUGAUCUCCCCCAAGAGUCCACAUCGACGGGGAGGUUUGGCACCUCGAUGUCGGCUCAUCGCAUCCUGGGGCUGAAGUAGGUCCCAAGGGUUGGGCUGUUCGCCCAUUAAAGCGGUACGCGAGCUGGGUUCAGAACGUCGUGAGACAGUUCGGUCCCUAUCCGGCGUGGGCGUAGGAUAUUUGAGAGGAGCUGUCCUUAGUACGAGAGGACCGGGAUGGACGUACCUCUGGCGCACCAGUUGUUCUGCCAAGGGCAUAGCUGGGCAACUAUGUACGGAUCGGAUAAACGCUGAAAGCAUCUAAGCGUGAAGCCGACCCAAAGAUAAGAUAUCCCACUGAUUUGAUCAGGUAAGACCCCUUGAAGACUACAAGGUUGAUAGGCAUGACGUGUAAGUGGAGUGAUCCAUUCAGCGAGCAUGUACUAAUAGGUCGAGGGCUUGACCAC